GACGAACGCUGGCGGCGUGCCUAAUACAUGCAAGUAGAACGCACAGUUUAUACCGUAGCUUGCUACACCAUAAACGGUGAGGUGCGAACGGGUGAGUAACGAGUAGGUAAUCUGCCUGGUAGCGGGGGAUAAAUAUUGGAAACGAUAGCUAAAACAGCAUAAUAUUGAUGAUUGCAAGAUAAUUGAUUGAAAGAUGAUAUUGCAUAACUACCAGAUGGACCUGCGUUGUAUUAGCUAGUAGGUGAGGUAACGGAUCACCUAAGCGACGAUACAUAGCCGACCUGAGAGGGUGAGCCGCCACCCCGGGACUUGGACCCCGCCCAAGCUCCUUCCGGAGGCAACCGUAGGGAAUCUUCGGCCAUAGACGAAAGUCUUACCGAGCCACGCCGCGUGAGUGAAGAAGGUUUUCCGAUCGUAAAGCUCUUUUUUACGGGAAGAACGGGUGUGAGAGUGGAAUGUUCACACUUUGACGGUAUCUUACCAGAAAGGGACGGCUAACUACGUG
This 505-nucleotide ribosomal RNA is filed under the name uncultured bacterium. RNAcentral describes it as "partial 16S ribosomal RNA". It matches the Rfam family "Bacterial small subunit ribosomal RNA", at positions 28 to 507 of the family's 1533-position model. The record is from RNAcentral.